This 57-nucleotide transfer RNA is filed under the name Quedenfeldtia trachyblepharus (Atlas day gecko). Its description in RNAcentral is "partial tRNA-His". The record is from RNAcentral. Lineage: Eukaryota; Metazoa; Chordata; Lepidosauria; Squamata; Sphaerodactylidae.
CCCUAAAAGUAGGCAUAGUUUAAAUUAAACCCUUAAGCUGUGGACUUAACAACAGGA